RNAcentral lists this ribosomal RNA (467 nucleotides) under uncultured bacterium. RNAcentral's name for it is "partial 16S ribosomal RNA". It matches the Rfam family "Bacterial small subunit ribosomal RNA", at positions 28 to 506 of the family's 1533-position model. The record is from RNAcentral.
GACGAACGCUGGCGGCGCGCCUAACACAUGCAAGUCGAACGGAGUCACGAGGAGCUUGCUUUUCUUGACUUAGUGGCGAACGGGUGAGUAACGCGUGAGUAACCUGCCCUGGAGUGGGGGACAACAGUUGGAAACGACUGCUAAUACCGCAUAAGCCCACGGAUCCGCAUGGAUCUGCGGGAAAAGGAUUUAUUCGCUUCAGGAUGGACUCGCGUCCAAUUAGCUAGUUGGUGAGGUAACGGCCCACCAAGGCGACGAUUGGUAGCCGGACUGAGAGGUUGAACGGCCACAUUGGGACUGAGACACGGCCCAGACUCCUACGGGAGGCAGCAGUGGGGGAUAUUGCACAAUGGGGGAAACCCUGAUGCAGCGACGCCGCGGGGAGGAAGAAGGUUUUCGGAUUGUAAACUCCUGUCGUUAGGGACGAUAAUGACGGUACCUAACAAGAAAGCACCGGCUAACUACGU